This 2574-nucleotide long non-coding RNA is filed under the name Equus caballus (horse). Its description in RNAcentral is "lncRNA (ENSECAG00000045499.1)". The record is from RNAcentral. Lineage: Eukaryota; Metazoa; Chordata; Mammalia; Perissodactyla; Equidae.
CUUUAGUUAGGUGCAUCAUCAUGGCAAUUCUCCAUGCUGGUUAGUGAUCAUUUCCUGAUGAACCAGAGUCCUUCCCAAGCAAAUUUGGUGUGUGUGUGUUUUGUAUCCGGCGUGAGUCAGAACUGUGUAAGCGUUUACUAUUGUCCUAAUGGUAACAGAAGCCAGUACUGUUAGAAUGCAGACGCAGUGCUGGGCACUGUCUUGAAACUGCCACAGGUUCACGCGCUCAAGCCUGUCAGCAAGCCCAUCGUGGGGAAACCAUCAGGCUUCCUGACAAAGGGUUCUGGCCAGAGGCGGAUCCAGGUUUUGCAGGGCCUGGAGCUCGUACAAUUUGGGGAGCCCUUGUGAAGGAAAGGAAUACAAAGUUACAAAUAUAAAAUUACAUCCAGGUCCUUGGAAGGCGCCCAAAGAAGAGAAGGGCUCUGAAGCUGUACGCUCUACCAAGCUUGAUUAGCUGGCAGUGAGCAAAGUCGCUUCUUGUAUGGUGCAACUCUUCUGUGUCUGUUUACAAAUUCCAUUCCCUAAUACAAGAACCACACUGCGCCUGUCUGCCCAACUCAGGUAGGAUGAUAUGCUAAUGGUUCUUUGUGUAGAAUGCAUACCACAGUUAUCCAAUGCUGACUAUAUUGAUUUAAUUUUUCCUCUUUUGCAUUUCCUACUUGCUUCCCCCUACCCCAAGUUCCUUUGCAAUUUACUGAAUUUACUUUCACUGUGUAUGUCAUUGACUUUAACGUAUUUCUAAUUCAUCGAAUAGAAUUUAAUUUCAAAAAGCUUCUGUUACAGGAAGCUGGUCCAAUCUGUGUCACUCUUUGAGUUUUGAAGACUGUUAGGAGGUUCUUUGGUUGCAUAUAAUAGAGACUGGGUUUAAUUAACUUAGGCAAGAAGAAGGAACUGUGGGAGGGCUCCUGGGCAGACCCAGAACAUCUCUGAUGAUCUCAGUCGUGACCCAUCUUGCUCCAGGGCAACCAUCACUUGGCCAAACGCCAAACGCCUAUCCCUGAGCACCUCUACUCAAGACUCAGACUCCCAGGAAGGAUUGACUGGUCUCAGUUACAUUCUGUUCUCACUCUGUGGCCAAGACUGAGUGAGGUGUCUUAUGCUGGCUGUUGCUUCCCCAAAGAAAAGGUGGAUGCUAUACUCACAAGAAGGGGGGAAGGAAUACUAAGUUGACAAAAACAAAAGGAGCCGUGAUACCCACCACAGUCUUGAUUUUGUACCAUUUUAUAUAAGAGAGGACUCCAAUUGAACACACAUGCCCCCUUUCUCUCUCAUCCAAUUUUUCUUUCUAAUUUUGAAAUUAGCAUGUACACAUUCACGAUGAUCUUUAAAAGCUCAUGGAAGAAAUAGAUGUGUGAAAGAGCAAGAGCAUGGCAAGGAAAUCUAACUGUUAUUGAGCACUGCCCAUAUGCCAGACGCUUUAUAUUUAUAUUUAGAAAGCCCUGUCAUAUAAACUGUUGUUUUUCUAAUAAAUUUCUUGAACUCCUGCAUCCUCUAGAACCAAGAUGAACAGUAUUUCCCUCUUGAGAAUUCUUCUGUACCCUCUGUAAAUUGUCCAAGGACCUCUUGGGAUUACUUUAGCCCAGUGGUUUUCAACUAGGGCACCUUAACCCCCCCAGAGGACAUUUGGCAACAUCUGCAGGCAUUUUUGGUCAUUAUAGGGGGUGGGGUUCUCCACCAGCAUCAGUGGGUAAGGCUAGAGGUGUGUCUACAUAUCCUACAAUGCUGAAGGCAACCUCCCACGAUAAGGAACUAUCUGGCCCCAAAUGUCCAUAGUACCAAAGCUGAGAAGCUAAGCUUUCACUCAAGGGGCUCGGCUCUAGUCCAAACACCAAGCAAAGAAGAAAUGAUGAGUUAAUCUGUGUAAUACCACUGUUGUUCACCUCUGCCACAUGGGGUCACUGGAGAAGAUCAGUCCAGCGCAGUCUGGUAACCGUUCACUCUGGUGAGAAUCUCUGUUGGCACACAGUGGUGCCCCAUACUGGCUCUUUAUUUCACAUUCACAUGUUUACAUGUUAUUUCCUAAAGUCCAACAGCUGAGCCGGGAAGACUGGAUUCGAGAUGCUUCUAUUUUAGCCACAGAUAGAUUCUCUGCAGGAGGAAAAGACCCUGAACUCUAGGAUUUACCUGUGGCUCUUACCCUGAACUUUGCCUCCCGACGCAGAGUUAAUCCUGCAGAUAGAUUCCUACUACAGGUUCACUGUUGGUCGGAUUUCAGACUCUCUGGGCCUUUUCCCUUUGCCCUCCUUGCCCCAUCACUAAGGCUUCAUUCAUUUUUCCAAUUUUUGUCAGGUCUGUGAACAUGUACUCUUUUCUCUUUUUUCCCUUGAGGAAGAUUCACUCUGAGCUAAUAUCUGUUGCCAAUCUUCCUCUUUGUUUUUGCCUGAGGAAGACUGUCCCUGAGCUAACAUCUGUGCCAGUCUUCCUCUAUUUUGUAUGUGGUUGCAGCCACAGCAUGGCUGAUGAGUAGUGUGGGUCUGUGUCCGGGAUCCGAACCUGCAAAUCCAGAUCACCGAAGCAGAGUGCACCAAACUUAACCACCAGGCCAUGGGGGCUGGCCCCUGUGAACAUGUCCUC